UAGACAGUAGGGACACGUGGAUGUGGCUCUGUGUUUUCCACUCAGUGAGUCUAAAGCUGCUCUUAAGCAAAUGAAGUCGGGGGUCUGGAACCUUGGUAGGGACUCUGAGGCCUGGCUCCCCACGGUAAGGCUGGGCCAGUAGCACCGCUGGCCUCGCCUUGCCUUGAGGUUGCUGCUGCCCUGCGGCCGGCACGCAGGCCUACAGGCAGGGCUGCGGGUGGGACGGGCAGAAGCCGCAAGAGCCCAGCUUGGAUCUCACG
This 260-nucleotide small nucleolar RNA is filed under the name Chinchilla lanigera (long-tailed chinchilla). The record is from RNAcentral. Lineage: Eukaryota; Metazoa; Chordata; Mammalia; Rodentia; Chinchillidae.